CGUACUUUUUGUAGAACGGUCCGGCGAGUUAUGAUACGCGGUAAGGUUAAGGACUUAAGGUCCGGAGCCGAAGCGAAAGCGAGUGUUAAGAGCACGAGGAAUCACGUAUCAUAGACCCGAAACCGGGUGAUCUAUCCAUGUCCAGGAUGAAGCUGCCGUAAGAGGUAGUGGAGGUCCGAACACACAUCCGUUGAAAAGGGUGGUGAUGAGGUGUGGAUAGGGGAGAAAUUCCAAUCGAACCCGGAGAUAGCUGGUUCUCCUCGAAAUAGCUUUAGGGCUAGCCUUCAGUUAGUCUGCCGCAGGUAGAGCACUGAAUUUCCUAGGGGGCGUCAAAGCCUACCGAAGAAUAUCAAACUGCGAAUGGCGGACAGAUGAUGCUGGGGAGUCAGACUGCACGAGAUAAGUUGGGUGGUCAAAAGGGAAAGAGCCCAGACCUACAGCUAAGGUCCCAAAGUGCGUGUUAAGUGGAAAAGGAUGUGGGAUUUCGAAGACAACUAGGAUGUUGGCUCAGAAGCAGCCACACAUUAAAAGAGUGCGUAAUAGCUCACUAGUCGAGAGGUCCUGCGCCGAAAAUGUCCGGGGCUGAAACACGACACCGAAGCUUAGGAACAGAAAUGUUGGUAGAGGAGCAUUGUUAGCGGAACGAAGCCAUACCGGAAGGAGUGGUGGACUGCUAAGAAGAGAGAAUGCCGGAAUGAGUAGCGAGAUUGAAGUGAGAAUCUUCAAGGCCGAAUAUCUAAGGUUUCCAGGGUAAAGCUGAUCUGCCCUGGGUAAGUCGGGGCCUAAGGCGAGGUCGGAAGACGUAGCCGAUGGACAACAGGUUGAAAUUCCUGUACUGCGAUAUAUCAGAAAUGUGGGGACACAGAAGGAAAGUGUGAGCCGGGAAAGGAAAGACCGGUGCAAGCACAGGAGGAGAGAUACAGGCAAAUCCGUAUUUCAAUCCAAUGGUGUUACGCGGAGCGAACAAAAGUAGCGAAGCACACAGACCAUCUGUCGAGAAAAGCCGCUAUUGUGUAUACCGUACCCGUACCGUAAACCGACACAGGUGGAUGAGGAGAGAAUCCUAAGGCCGGCGGGAGAAGCAUUGUUAAGGAACUCGGCAAAAUGACCCCGUAACUUCGGGAGAAGGGGUGCUCACGCAAGUGAGCCGCAGAGAACUGGCCCAAGCAACUGUUUAGCAAAAACACAGGUCUAUGCAAAACCGAAAGGUGAGGUAUAUGGGCUGACGCCUGCCCGGUGCUGGAAGGUUAAGAGGAGAUGUUAGAGCAAUCGAAGCAUUGAAUUUAAGCCCCAGUAAACGGCGGCCGUAACUAUAACGGUCCUAAGGUAGCGAAAUUCCUUGUCGGGUAAGUUCCGACCCGCACGAAAGGCGUAAUGAUUUGGGCACUGUCUCGACGAUGCACCCGGUGAAAUUGAAAUACCAGUGAAGAUGCUGGUUACCUUGCGCCAGGACGGUAAGACCCCAUG
Molecule: ribosomal RNA, 1467 nt
Filed under: human gut metagenome
Description: bacterial LSU rRNA
Rfam family: Bacterial large subunit ribosomal RNA
Source: RNAcentral